UACAGAGGGUGCGAGCGUUAAUCGGAAUUACUGGGCGUAAAGGGCGCGUAGGCGGUUUAUUAAGUUAGCUGUGAAAUCCCUGGGCUUAACCUAGGAACUGCAACUAAAACUGAUGAGCUGGAGUGCGGUAGAGGAUAGCGGAAUUUCCGGUGUAGCGGUGAAAUGCGUAGAUAUCGGAAGGAACACCAGUGGCGAAGGCGGCUAUCUGGACUGACACUGACGCUGAGGCGCGAGAGCGUGGGUAGCAAACAGG
This 253-nucleotide ribosomal RNA is filed under the name uncultured bacterium. RNAcentral describes it as "partial 16S ribosomal RNA". It matches the Rfam family "Bacterial small subunit ribosomal RNA", at positions 524 to 776 of the family's 1533-position model. The record is from RNAcentral.